This 682-nucleotide long non-coding RNA is filed under the name Phascolarctos cinereus (koala). RNAcentral describes it as "lncRNA (ENSPCIG00000031646.1)". Lineage: Eukaryota; Metazoa; Chordata; Mammalia; Diprotodontia; Phascolarctidae. The record is from RNAcentral.
UGCGCUUGUGAUGCUGAUGCAGUCUUACUUGGCUAUUCUUCCACCUUCCAUCUUCAUGUGGAAUUGUCAAGCACUUGAAAAAUCAGUUUGGAAACUAUAGGCAGUGAGUGAUUUAUUGAAAAGAAUAUUUUAUGCAAUUAUCUGUGGAUACUGGAAGCAAGAGAUUAUAUAAGCCAACACUUCAGUAAAUGGUGUUAAGAUCAUGUCAACAAGGGCUCAAUUGAAUGCAAUUCAAUAAGCAUUUAUAAGGCACCUAUAGUUUGCAAGACAUUGUGAAGUUGAGUUCAUUUUCUUCCCUUUAAUGCAGGAGACAUUGGAAUUCUGGAAUUUCAACCUGACUUUGGUCAAUUCUUCUGUUGCCCAUUAGCUAUAAAGACAGCUAGCUGGCCAUGCACACUUCAGGGAGGGGCCUACUGAUAUUUACUGUGUCACCUCAAGGCUCAGUGAGUGUUCCAGGAACUGACUUUCCAUAGUAUGAUGACCUGUAAAAGCAGCCCUUCCAUUUACAUUUCAAACUCCAAGUCAGCCGUGGCCGUGUCUGAAUGAGAGCGGUACAGGAUAAUGGGUCAAAUGUAAUUAGCGGGCCAAAUAGCUGUACGGUCCAGGCUGAUUUAUUUUGUGCCCAUCAGAUUCCAAGAACCUCAGUGUUUAAAGGUCUAGACUUGUCUUCCUGACAACGGGC